Molecule: long non-coding RNA, 571 nt
Organism: Apis florea (little honeybee)
Lineage: Eukaryota; Metazoa; Arthropoda; Insecta; Hymenoptera; Apidae
Source: RefSeq, a predicted model, not a curated record
CGCAUAUAAUUUUCAAGUUGCGCCGACAUUGGACGUGCUGGAUGUAGCAAACCAAAAGAUGAAAAUGGCAUUGUAUCAUGAGCAUCGGAUCCUUGCUGUGUGAAAUAUAUGUAUAUGUGGUCUUCGAUGAGGACCAUAAUGAUGAUACAUAUGAGGUACAUAAGGAUGAACUGGCAUUGAAGGCAGCAUAACUGGUGGUGUUGGUUCCAUUUCUACACCAUUCAAAGAAUUUUCCUAAACAAAUAAUAUAAAUGAAUGUUAUAAAAAUUAAAUUUCUGAAAAAACAAUAAAAAAUAAGAAAAAUAAAAAAAUUAUAAAUUCAUUAUAAUUUUAUAUUUAUUAUAAUAUAACUUUUUUGAUUGAAAUUACCAUCACAGAUUGUGCUGGACAUGAUGGGCUAACAUUUGGUGGUCUCCUAGCUUCUGGAUGACUAUAAACAGUAGGUUGUUGUGGUGGUGGUAAAAUUGGAGGAGGAAAAUAAUUUUCUGCAAAUGUCAUAUUUUCCGAACCAUUGCAACGAUUAUUUGCAGGAUUAGGAUUUCCAUUAUUACACGUAUGUUGAUUUGCUUGA